Oryza brachyantha (malo sina) is the source of this 2457-nucleotide RNA transcript. It is a transcript of the gene named dual-specificity RNA methyltransferase RlmN, with no coding region annotated. The record is from RefSeq and is a predicted model, not a curated record. Lineage: Eukaryota; Viridiplantae; Streptophyta; Magnoliopsida; Poales; Poaceae. The transcript has 9 exons.
UGGCGAGAAAAAAAAUCCCCAGCCGCGAGAAGCUCACGAAAACUGUUCCCAUCCCAUGGCGGCGGCGCUGCCUCUCCUCCGGUGGGGCGCCUCCUCCCUCCGCGGCCACUCCUCCCCUCCGCCCUCGCGCCGCCUCUUCUCCGCGAUCCGCCGACCCCCCUCCGCUGCCCGCUGCGAGCCCGGCUCGAAGGUUAUGCUCAAGGGGAUGGACUACCCAGAGCUCGAGAAAUGGGCGCGGUCUCAGGGCUUCCGGCCAGGGCAGGCCAUGAUGCUGUGGAAAUGCCUCUACGGGAACAACGUAUGGGCGCACAGCCACGACGAGCUGGCUGGUUUAAACAAGGACUUCAGGAAAAUGGUAACAGAUCAUGCUGAUCUCAAGGCAUUAACGGUGAAAGAUAUUCUUAAUGCAUCAGAUGGAACCCGAAAGAUACUGUUCUCUCUUGAAGAUGGAUCAGUGAUUGAAACAGUUGUCAUUCCUUGCGCUAGUGGCAGAACAACUGUCUGUGUUUCCAGUCAAGUGGGUUGUGCAAUGAAUUGUCAGUUUUGCUUCACUGGAAGGAUGGGCUUAAGAAAGCAUUUGUCUACAGCUGAGAUUGUUGAGCAGGUUGUCUUUGCUCGUAGACUAUUUUCAGAUGAAUUUGGAUCCAUUACAAAUGUUGUAUUUAUGGGCAUGGGUGAGCCAUUGCAUAAUAUUGACAAUGUACUAAAAGCCUCAGCUAUAAUGGUUGAUGAUCAGGGCCUUCAUUUUAGUCCUCGCAAGGUCACUGUCUCCACAAGUGGCCUUGUUCCCCAGAUAAAACGUUUCCUGCAUGAAUCCAAUUGUUCACUGGCUGUCAGUCUUAAUGCAACAAAUGAUGAGGUGAGAAACUGGAUAAUGCCUAUUAACAGAAAGUACAAUCUCAACUUGCUUCUUGGCACUUUAAGAGAAGAACUUCGUUUGAAAAAGAAGUAUAAAGUGUUUUUUGAAUAUGUCAUGCUUGCUGGUGUGAAUGACAGUGUGGAUGACGCGAAGAGACUAGUUGAUUUAGUUCAUGGGAUCCCUUGCAAGAUCAAUCUCAUCUCUUUCAAUCCCCAUUGUGGGUCGCAAUUCAAGCCCACUCCUGAUGAGAAAAUUAUUGAGUUCCGCAAUAUUUUAAUUCAAGAUGGCCUUGUUGUAUUUGUUCGUCUCAGCAGAGGGGAUGAUCAGAUGGCUGCCUGUGGACAGCUGGGAGAGCCUGGGGGCUAUCAGCUACCACUGCUCCGUGUACCUGAGAAAUUUCAAGUCGCCUUGUGAUUAUAAACGGUAAGUUCGGUACUACAAUCCUGAUAGAUAUUGGAGAAUGCUUGAAAAAGAAGAUUUGCUUCGGUCCAACAAAAGUACCUCGAGAUACCGGUACCUCGCAAUACCAAAUCAUUUCUGAUCGUUGGAUCUAAUCAUACACAUCCUACUCAGCAUUUUUUAGCUGAUUCAAUUGUGGACCGGUACCUCGAGGUACUAUUUAAUGGACCGGAACAAAUCUCUUGAAAAAGACAUGCAAGAAUAUAGCCAUGCAGUUCUUAGAGGGACUGAGCUAAGUACUGUAUGUACUACAAUUCUCAUAGAUAUUGCCGAACAGCUUGACAAAGACAUGAAAGUAUAAAACGAUGCAGUUGUUAGGGGGACUGAGAUCCUCUGCAAUGCUGCCCCAGCAUUGAGAGCCACUAGUAACUAUUAGAUUUUUUCUGUUACUUCAACACGGCUGUAUCUUCAGCUGACCUGUGGUAUGUAAAAAACAAAUUUAGGCAUAGUGCUGCUAAUCUGCAAGUACCAAAAAUCCAGUAUUUUCCAUGGAUGUAACUUAUAUAUAUGUUUGCAUCAGUUUUCCCACUGAUAAUAACAAACACGUGCGACACAAGGAGAGUUUGGAAUGCAGCAGAGGAUGGGAUGAACCUUAUUCAUGUGCAGGCAUGAGUCAUUUCCAAAAGUCGCACAAGAUUGUGCCUUGCUUGAGAUACCUUAACCAUUAAGGUGUGCAUGCCAUUGCCACGACCUGACCACCAUACGGAGGAAAAGGAAAAAGCAAUAAGCAAACCCCACCAGUAAAAGCCCUUCUUUCUCAAAAGCAACUCUAUUAUGCUCCAUGUAUUGAGCGUCUUUAGCACUAAUCUGCUGCCGAACUGGCACUCUACACGUCUACUUGUUGCUUUAACAGAGGCAUGGAUUUGGACAGUUGCUGAUUUGCCUGACUUUGUAUAUCUCCGUUCUCUUCUUCAAGUGACUCCUUUUUUUUUUGUCUCAAGUAUUUUGGCACUGGAUUCUUGAUAUUUGAGACAACUUUGAUAUAUCGACUACGUGUUGAUCUGAACGAUCUCCACCAGUUUUAGCAAUAGCAAGAUCUGCUGGGGAGCCUUGGCGACAGGGCUGUGACAUUUGCUGUUGUCAAGUCCACUUUGAACUAAUUCUUUUCUUCCAUGUUAAAUAAAAGCACAACCUUUUCG